Oryza brachyantha (malo sina) is the source of this 362-nucleotide long non-coding RNA. RefSeq lists it as uncharacterized. The record is from RefSeq and is a predicted model, not a curated record. The transcript has 3 exons. Lineage: Eukaryota; Viridiplantae; Streptophyta; Magnoliopsida; Poales; Poaceae.
AUCUUCACAUUUUAGCUGCAGAAGGGUAACUUUUUGAUGAUGAUCCAGACUUUACAAACACCAAGUUCAAUGAGAGACUUAUGCACCAACAACUUUCGCGGCACCACUUGACUUUUGGGCGCUACUACACCAGUGGACUUCAAGAUAUCUGUGAAAGAUCAUUGACUGAAUCCACUGGUGGCCCAUCUGGGCCAAACACUCCGAAUGUAUUGACCUGGUCAGUCAACCUAUGAUUUAAUUGAACUUGUUUUGGAUAGUGAUUUGUUGAUGUAAUUAGUUGAUCAUGUAACUGACUUGUGGAUAACCUAUGAUGUUUGUUUGUUUUUUCUGACUCUGUGAUCCACUGUUUUGUGAAUCUGUAU